Molecule: ribosomal RNA, 481 nt
Filed under: uncultured bacterium
Lineage: Bacteria
Description: partial 16S ribosomal RNA
Rfam family: Bacterial small subunit ribosomal RNA
Source: RNAcentral
GACGAACGUUGGCGGCGUGCUUAGUACAUGCAAGUCAACUGAAGCAGUGGUAGCAAUAUCGCUGUGGAGGUGGCGCACGGGUGAGUAACACGUAGGUAAUCUGCCUUCAGGUCUGGCAUAACUCCGGGAAACCGGGGCUAAUAGCAGAUGAUGCAGCGGCUCGACAUCGAGACAGUUGUUAAAGCUAUGGCGCCUGAAGAUGAGCCUGCGUCUGAUUAGCUAGUUGGCGGGGUAACGGCCCACCAAGGCAACGAUCAGUAGCUGGUCUGAGAGGAUGAUCAGCCACACUGGAACUGAGACACGGUCCAGACUCCUACGGGAGGCAGCAGUAAGGAAUAUUGCUCAAUGGGAGAAAUCCUGAAGCAGCAACGCCGCGUGAGGGACGAAGGGCUUUUGCUUGUAAACCUCUGUAGGGAGAGAAAAAAAUCCCAAUCUUUGGGACAUGAUGGUAUCUCAAAAGUAAGCCCCGGCUAACUACGUG